AAGACUAUAGACCUGCGGAGUACCUGCGGAAGGAUCAUUACCGAGUACCGGGGCCUUCGGGUUCCUACUCCCACCCUAUGUUGACUUUAAAUGUUGCUUUGGCGGACCGGUGGUCUCACCGCUGGCCUAGGCUGGAGAGCGUCCGCCAGAGGAUUUUAAACUCUGUUUAACGGUGAAUUCUGAGUCUUGAUAAAUUGAAUCAAAACUUUUAACAAUGGAUCUCUAGAUCGGAAGAGCACA
This 240-nucleotide unclassified non-coding RNA is filed under the name soil metagenome. RNAcentral's name for it is "partial contains 5.8S ribosomal RNA, internal transcribed spacer 2, and large subunit ribosomal RNA". The record is from RNAcentral.